Molecule: ribosomal RNA, 484 nt
Filed under: uncultured bacterium
Lineage: Bacteria
Description: partial 16S ribosomal RNA
Rfam family: Bacterial small subunit ribosomal RNA
Source: RNAcentral
AUUGAACGCUGGCGGCAGGCCUAACACAUGCAAGUCGAGCGGAUGAAGGGAGCUGGCUCCUGGAUUCAGCGGCGGACGGGUGAGUAAUGCCUAGGAAUCUGCCUGGUAGUGGGGGAUAACGUCCGGAAACGGGCGCUAAUACCGCAUACGUCCUGAGGGAGAAAGUGGGGGAUCUUUGGACUUCACGCUAUCAGAUGAGCCUAGGUCGGAUUAGCGAGCUGGUGGGGUAAAGGCCUACCGAGGCGACGAACCGUAACUGGUCUGAGAGGAUGAUCAGUCACACUGGAACUGAGACACGGUCCAGACUCCUACGGGAGGCAGCCGUGGGGAAUAUUGGACGAUGGGCGAAAGCCUGAUCCAGCCAUGCCGCGUGUGUGAAGAAGGUCUUCGGAUUGUAAAGCACUUUAAGUUGGGAGGAAGGGCAGUAAGUUAAUACCGUGCUGUUUUGACGUUACCAACAGAAUAAGCACCGGCUAACUUCGUG